GCCUAGCUGGCCCAGUCAGUAGAGUAUGAGACUCUUGAUCUCGGGGUCGUGAGUUUGAGCCCCACGUUGGGUG
Molecule: transfer RNA, 73 nt
Filed under: Ailuropoda melanoleuca (giant panda)
Lineage: Eukaryota; Metazoa; Chordata; Mammalia; Carnivora; Ursidae
Rfam family: tRNA
About the family: Transfer RNA (tRNA) molecules are approximately 80 nucleotides in length.
Source: Rfam by way of RNAcentral